ACUGAGGGGUGAUGACAAUAAAAGGCCGAAUUGCAGUGCCUCCAUAAGCAGUUUGCUCUCUGUGGCUGCACAAUGACAAAGUCUCCUGAAGCGAACCACUGGUGUCUGACCUCAGU
Molecule: small nucleolar RNA, 116 nt
Organism: Loxodonta africana (African savanna elephant)
Lineage: Eukaryota; Metazoa; Chordata; Mammalia; Proboscidea; Elephantidae
Gene: SNORD89
Product: small nucleolar RNA SNORD89
Source: Ensembl